Molecule: long non-coding RNA, 232 nt
Filed under: Elaeis guineensis (African oil palm)
Lineage: Eukaryota; Viridiplantae; Streptophyta; Magnoliopsida; Arecales; Arecaceae
Description: long non-coding RNA (EGUI_LNC048985)
Source: RNAcentral
UCUAUUGUGUUUCAGGUAAAGAUUUGAUCCUUAAUCAUGUAGAUUAAUAAAAAAAUUUUACAUGCAAUCUGGGCUAUCCAAAAAGAAAUAGUUUUCCUUCCCUUCAAUGUCAUCAGCUUGUCCCAUCCAUAGUCAACAAGCUAUACUUGACAAAUGGUUGGACAUUGACAAUUAGGUUAGAUGCUUUGAAUUGGACUACAUGGCUGAUGAACUCCAAUGUGUAUGCCUAAGG